CCCCCUCCCUCAUUGGAUACUGCCCGUCGUCAUGGAGAUCGAACACUGAGACAGGGAGGAGGAGGAGAGGGAGGGGGGGCGUGGUCAUUGCGUCAGGAACUCCCGCGCAGAAUGCCGCCUUUGAAAUGGAACAAGAAGUUGAGCCACUUCCAGCCAGUGAGUCGGGAAAGCAGCGCGCCGGGAGUUGGGAUUACCAGUUGAAAAUGUUACUUUUUUUGUGUGUGAAUUUGCCAAUGAGCGCAAUGUCCUUUCUUUUUCCCCACUUCUGCUAACCUCCCCUUCCCCUUAUAUUUAAUCUAUUUUUUUGGCCCAUUUUAACUCAAUAUUUCAGCACUGGCAGCUUUUAUUUGUUUCUCUCUCUCUCUCCCUCCUUUUCGCUUUUAUCCCAAGGUUGCUCAUUGCUAUGAGUCCUCCUUUGGCAAGUGAGGAUUGUCAAGGAGCUGAAUGACCUCCACCCUCCAACUACGCUGCGCCGAUAGGAGACGCAUUUCCACAGGGCCGAAGUGACAAGGUCAGACUGGGAUUUUUAGCGGAAAACAGUGGCACAGAUUGCAAAAGGCUGGGAGGAAGAAGACAAUGAAAGCGGUGAUGUGAGGCAGGUUUGAUUGCAACAGUGUGGAUUGCCACACCCCUUCUCACUUACACAUCUAUAUAUUAUAUAUAUAAUAUGGAGACAAAGGCAACCUACCUGGGACUGAAGGAGAUGUAUUUGCAGCCAUUUCACGAAGGUGGUGGUGAAGGAUUGAUGCCAUCUUGCUUGGGUCUAACCUGAUGACAACCUCCAUUACAGGGAUGGCACUGCCAGCAGCAGUCAAGGUCACCAUAAUCCUGAACUUAUAUGUUGUAAACUCAUUCCAAGCUACUCUAAGGGACCCCAGCAACGCUGACCAAUCGGCACUAGUUAAGUGGCAUUAAGGAGAUCACUGACAGAAGCAACAUUAUUAUCUUUCCCUGAAAACUCUACUGCUGUAUGAGAGGAUCCAACAAUUUUGGUUACAAUGUAGGAUGCCCCCAAGUUAUUGAUGGUGCCCAUGGCCAUUCCUGCACACUAUACUAUUGCCUACAUCGACUGCCAAUAGGUAUAACUUUAUCAACAUUUAGGUGGUCUGUGGUGAUCAACAAAGCAUCAUGUGUUUCAUCUUUAUCUGGGAUACUGAAGAAGGCAGCCAACAGGAUGGGGGAUAAACUUACCCUCUUCAGGUGCCCCAUGACGGCAUUAAGAUGGAGACAGCUGGCAUCAGAACAAAGAUACAGGACUUACCUGAGCAUUUAAUACUCCAUAAAUAUCUUGACAUAGCAUCAGAAGCUUGGGCUGAAUGAGAGGCAUUUUCCAUGGCAGCUCCUCUGGACUCUCAGAGACGCUCAUAAUCUGCUACACACUACACACCACUGUCACCCAGAGAGGCUCAACGAUGGAGUAGAUGGACAAGGAGGAGAUUGAGAAGGACCACACACAUCCCAGGAGCAGAUCAAGAUACUGCCAGACAACCAGAAAAUAUUGCUUCUGAAACAUUGGUGCAGCAACAUGGUAGAUUCCCAUUCAUGAGACCUUCGACUAAGCAUAUCCAGCCCAUGUAUCAGUCCUCUCCAUAUCACCAACAUUGGCUUAACUCAACUACCAAGGAUUCCAAUCCUCUGAUCCACCAAUAUCCUGUUCUAAUCUGUCAAGAGAAGCUCUCAACACAGUCGCAAAUAAAAUGCAACCAAAUGUAAUUCCCUAAAAGUGAUUAGUGUAUAUAGCACAAUGCUUCCCUUGGUGAUAGGCGUGUUUUGGGUAUUCUAUGCCUUACCCUUGUGCUGCUCCUAGGUGCAUUCCCAGUGACAGGUGUAAGGAAAAUAGUUGGCUGUUGGGAGUUAGUGAGAAGCUCCAGGGAUUGAAGUGUCUCCUUGUGCUGAAUCAUGAGCUGUCUCUGCAACACUGCUAUCACAUCUUUUACUAAAGUAGCUAGAAAGCCCUGCCUACUUUCUGGCAUAUCUUUUGUGGUGGAGAGGGCGUCUAGAUACCCUUGGUGUCACCAUCAGGGCACAGCGAUCAUUAUCCCUUUCGGCUGGGUGCUCCCUCAUUCUAACCCCUGACCUGCAUGAGAACAGAAGGAUUACAGCCAAUUUUGUACAGGAUCCGUUUGAAUCUAGUUUUUUGCUUCAGAGGAUUUUUUUUUGAAGAAUUAAGUUAAACUAAACAUUUUUUUCUCCAGUAACAAGUUAUUUGCUACAACUGGGUAAAAGAAAAUGUAAAAAUUGAAGAAAGAAAUUCAUCCUUAAUGGCAAUAGAGAUCAGUCUGCAAUAAGCGUUACUAAAUUUUUAGAUUAAAAAUAAUGCAAAUAUAGGGUCCAAAAUAAUGUACAGAGCACUAAAGCAAAUACCCCAAAAAUUCUGAACUUCCCCAUCCCAUGAAAUAAAUCUUGUGUAUUCAACCCUUGUAUUCCCCUUGUGGAUUUUUUUUGUAUUUCUGUCUUAUUCCAAUGAAGAGAAGUGAAGGAAUGUUGGAUGCAUUGACAGCUUACGACAUAAGCCUGUGUCUAAUGCACUUUCAAUGCAGUAUCUUUUUUUUACACGUACUCAGGGCAUUAGAUCCCAUUCUCUUUAGCCUUUACUGUAGAAUUUACUCUGACUUAUUGCCUCCUGCCCAGCAGAGUGAAGACCUCACCUGUGGCAAGGGUGUCCCAGGGAUCCAAACGUGCAAAACUCCCUUUGCCAUAUAUAUCCUGUGGAAGGAGAGUGACUGACGAUGCUCUAUGUUAUCAAGCAGUUUGCUGCCCAGAGCUCAGUCCUUUCAGAAUCGCUGCUGCAUGUUAUAUCCCAGUGCCCACACCUUCCUAGCAAAUACCAAGAUCCCACCUGCUGGCCAAUUCAGACCAGGAGUUAACCAUGAAGCUGGUUUUAGGAAAUCCUGCAAGAUUAGUUUAGUGAUGUCUCAGUGAGCACUAAACUCCCCGCUUCAAUGUUGGGAGCUGAAAAGCAUUGCUGUAGUGUUCUAGAGUUGUUUUUACCCCCAGUCUCUCAAUUCUGUCCUAGACCGCAAGCAUACUAAUAUGGCAGCCAACCUCUGGAGAAAGUGAAGGUCACUUCACAUAAAGACAUUAAUUAAAAGGAGGGGCUCUCCAUCAGGGUCUAUUUGGUACAACACAUUUAAACAUCUUUGAGAAGUGGCCCCCGACAAAUGUGACACCAAUGAUAUAAAAGAUAAAGCAGUACCUUUAAAGUCUUACAGAAUUAGGUAUGUUUUUGUGUGCUUAUGCAUUAUGCAAAUGAAUGAGAAAUAAUGUUGUGGUCUUUAAAGAAGCCCAAAUUCUGAUCAGAAACAAGAAAAGUGGGUCUAAAACAAAACAGAAAUUGAAAUGCAUGAGAUGUGGCUCAUUUAUAAAAGGAUCACCUUGAUAAGACAUAAAACUAACUGAUAACAAUGGCCAGUGAAAUAAUAAACCAUGAUGAUUCAGACUACUUGUUCCUUCAGUUAAUGAGUCACAUAUAAGUAAUUGAAGUGACUAGUAGCAGUGCUUGUUAUAAGACACAUUCUGCUAUUAAACUCUAUCCUAUUUGACUAAUGUUCAUAGAUAAAGAGGCUCUUAUGUCGGCUGACAGGAGUUAAAUGGGACUUGUAAGAGUAAUUUUCUUCAGUGAGCUCAGGUACCACCUGCCUAAAUUUAUGAGGAUUGUUCAAUCAAUGGAGAGAGUAAAAAAUCAUUUUAUCCCUCCUGUUUUGGGAGGAUUUGAACCCAGUUCUUUGCAAAAAGACAAUGCUUUAACUCCUUUAAGCAGCUUUAAUGUGCAAACUUGGCUUUCACCAAUACAUCCAUCUUCUUUAAUAAGUCAAAGGUUCACAACCAUGAUUUUUUCCAACAUGAUCCCAAAACACUAUGGUAACAAACAAGGACAAAACAGUCUCGCUUGAUGCAAUUCUUGUGGAAGUGUUGGAUUCCCAACCAGAGGCUCCCAAGUUACAAUUCCAGCUUCAAUUCCUAUUCAAUUUUAUCGGCAUGAGUUUGCCAGUUCUAGGUUGCACCAUGGAUUGGAGCACUGGACCAGUGCUGUGCCUUGGGAGGAGAAACUAAAACGUGUCCGGCAGAAGCACAGCAGCAGUGGUAGUUUGAACCAGGAUUGCUGCUCUCCUGAAUGAAACAGAGGGUUAAGCAGUGAAGUGGGAAAUGAAAAAAAGGUAGAGGUUUGUCUGGUGUUUGGAGAGUCUAGAAUUCGGGGGCAUAGUCUAAAACUUAAAACCAGAUCUUUCAGGAGUGAAAUUAGGAAACACUUCUACACGUGAGGUGCGUUGGAAGUUUGGAACCCUCUUCCCCAAACUGCAAUUGAUACCAGGUCAUUUUGUCUUGUUUGUUCUUGGGAUGUGGGCAUUGCUGGUGAGGCCAGCAUUUGUUGCCCAUCCCUAAUUACCCCUGAGAAGGUGGGCCACUUCUAGUCCCUGUGGUGUAGGUACACCCAAGUGCUAAAUUAGCAAUUGUCAAUUUUAAAACCGAGAUUGAUAGAUUUUUAUGAAACAAAGGUAUUACACGAUAUGAAGCAAAGGAGUUAUUAGAUUUUUAUGAAGCAAAGGUAUUACAAGAUAUGAGGCAUAAGGAGUUAUGGUCACAGCUCAGCCAUAAUUUUAUUGAAUGGAGGAACAGGCUCGAGGAGCUAAAUGGCCUCCUCCUGUUCCUGUGAAUGCAGGGGCAAAGGAGUGAAGAUUAUAAACAAGGACAUCUUUUUCCUCAUAUAACAAUGGAAUAACGACCAAAGCGUCAUUGCUGUGAGACCAUUGUUUUGUAAUAAUUUAAUUGCUUAGUCUUAGUUUGAAUGCUUUUGUGCACUGUUUGGUAAAAAUAAUGUUCCUGCAAAAUCACUUUUA
Carcharodon carcharias (great white shark) is the source of this 4838-nucleotide long non-coding RNA. RefSeq lists it as uncharacterized. Lineage: Eukaryota; Metazoa; Chordata; Chondrichthyes; Lamniformes; Lamnidae. The record is from RefSeq and is a predicted model, not a curated record. The transcript is spliced from 2 exons.